This 441-nucleotide long non-coding RNA is filed under the name Oryza sativa Indica Group (long-grained rice). RNAcentral describes it as "lncRNA OsZS97_01G039740". Lineage: Eukaryota; Viridiplantae; Streptophyta; Magnoliopsida; Poales; Poaceae. The record is from RNAcentral.
CAAGGCCUCGUAAAGGUACCAAACGCGCCCUUAACAAUCUGCAAAUUCGAAUACGAUCUGCACCAGCUUUCAAAAGCUGGAAAACAACUCGGGGCGCAAUUUGGAUCAGUUUCAAAAGACAUGAACAGCAACCUGAACUGUUUCUCCUUGAUGCUUCUCGACAGCAGUGGCUUUUUUCAGACUGUUCUUCAAACUACUCCACCAAACAGCCCAAACCACAUGAGGGCGACUUUCAUUCAUAGAAUGCGCGAUCAGGGAACCCCUUCCCGUGGCCAACUUUGUGCGCGGAUGGUCAUUGUCGCGGAAAUUACUGGAUCAUGGUGGAGGAUGCUGCACUUGGUUCUUCGCGGCGGCGCCGUUGUUUUCUGCACACCUAGUGUUGAUGAGUCUUUGGGAUGCCAUUUUCAUGCAACUACCGCACCAAACUCCCGGCUUAUAUAG